This 293-nucleotide ribosomal RNA is filed under the name uncultured bacterium. Its description in RNAcentral is "partial 16S ribosomal RNA". It matches the Rfam family "Archaeal small subunit ribosomal RNA", at positions 455 to 747 of the family's 1478-position model. The record is from RNAcentral.
GUGCCAGCCGCCGCGGUAAUACCGGCAGCACGAGUGAUGGCCGAUAUUAUUGGGCCUAAAGCGUCCGUAACUGGCCGGACAAGUCCGUUGGGAAAUCCACCCGCUUAACGGGUGGGCGUCCGACGGAAACUGCACAGCUUGGGACCGGAAGGCUCGAAGGGUACGUUCGGGGUAGGAGUGAAAUCCCAUAAUCCCGCACGGACCACCGAUGGCGAAAGCACUUCGAGAAAACGGGUCCGACAGUGAGGGACGAAAGCCAGGGUCUCCAACCGGAUUAGAAACCCCUGUAGUCC